This 1861-nucleotide ribosomal RNA is filed under the name marine metagenome. RNAcentral describes it as "bacterial LSU rRNA". It matches the Rfam family "Bacterial large subunit ribosomal RNA", at positions 433 to 2317 of the family's 2925-position model. The record is from RNAcentral.
CCCGUGUGAAUCUGCGAGGACCACCUCGUAAGGCUAAAUAUUCCUGAAUGACCGAUAGUGAAACAGUACCGUGAGGGAAAGGUGAAAAGAACCCCGGGAGGGGAGUGAAAAGAACAUGAAACCAUAAACUUACAAGCAGUAGGAGGACGACUAAAACGUCUGACUGCGUGCCUGUUGAAGAAUGAGCCGGCGACUUAUAGGUAGUGGCAGGUUAAGGUAGUGAAUACCGAAGCCACAGUGAAAGCGAGCCUGAAUAGGGCGUUUGUCACUAGUUAUAGACCCGAACCCGGAUGAUCUAACCAUGGCCAGGUUGAAGCUUAGGUAAUACUAAGUGGAGGACCGAACCGACUGAUGUUGAAAAAUCAGCGGAUGAGUUGUGGUUAGGGGUGAAAUGCCAAUCGAAUUCGGAGCUAGCUGGUUCUCCCCGAAAUGCGUUUUGGCGCAGCGGUAGAUGUUAUAGCUUAGGGGUAAAGCACUGUUACGUAUGCGGGCUGGUAAUUCGGUACCAAAUCGUUGCAAACUAAGAAUACUAAAUGAAUAAUUUGCUAGUAAGACUAUGGGGGAUAAGCUCCAUUGUCAAGAGGGAAACAGCCCAGAGCACCAGCUAAGGCCCCCAAAUAAUUACUAAGUGAUAAAGGUGGUGGGAGUGCAUAGACAAUCAGGAGGUUUGCUUAGAAGCAGCAAUCCUUUAAAGAGUGCGUAAUAGCUCACUGAUCGAGUAAACCUGCGCCGAAAAUGAAUGGGACUCAAGUAAUUUGCCGAAGCUGUGCGGUAUUUUAAUAAUAUCGGUAGGGGAGCGUUCUGUUGUAGGUUGAAGUAUUAACGAAAGUGGAUAUGGACGAAGCAGAAGUGAGAAUGUCGGCUUGAGUAACGAAAAUAUAGGUGAGAAUCCUAUACCCCGAAAACCCAAGGUUUCCUCCGGAAGGCUCGUCCGCGGAGGGUAAGUCAGGACCUAAGGCGAGGCUGAAAAGCGUAGUCGAUGGACAACGGGUUAAUAUUCCCGUACCGUUUUUUAUUGAUAUCGAGGGACGGAGAAGGCUAAGCUAGCCGGAUAUUGGUUUUACCGGUUUAAGCGUUCAAGAUGUUGAGAAGCGGCGAAAACGCUUUGAGUUGAGACGUGAGUACGAGACGCUAAGGCGUCGAAGUAGUGGAUGUCAUACUUCCAAGAAAAGCUUGCACUGUCAUAAAUAAAAAACGCCUGUACCAUAACCGACACAGGUGGGUAGGUAGAGUAUACUAAGGGGCGCGAGAUAACUCUCUCUAAGGAACUCGGCAAAAUGACUCCGUAACUUCGGGAGAAGGAGUGCCUUAUUCGUAAGGCUGCAAUAACAAGAUCCAAGCAACUGUUUAUCAAAAACACAGGUCUCCGCUAAGUCGUAAGACGAUGUAUGGGGGCUGACGCCUGCCCAGUGCCAGAAGGUUAAAGAAGUUGGUUAGCAUUAGCGAAGCUGAUAACUGAAGCCCUGGUGAACGGCGGCCGUAACUAUAACGGUCCUAAGGUAGCGAAAUUCCUUGUCGGGUAAGUUCCGACCCGCACGAAAGGCGUAAUGAUUUGGAUACUGUCUCAGAGAGGGGCUCGGUGAAAUAGACUUGUCUGUGAAGAUGCGGACUACCUGCACCAGGACAGAAAGACCCUAUGAAGCUUUACUGUAGCUUGAAAUUGAAAUUGGACUUUGCAUGCGCAGAAUAGGUGGGAGGCUUUGACGGUAAUCUUGCGGGAUUAUCUGAGCUAUCAGUGAGAUACCACUCUUGUAAUGUUAGAUUUCUAACUUUGUACCAUUAUCUGGUCAGAGAACAGUUUCAGGUGGGCAGUUUGACUGGGGCGGUCGCCUCCCAAAUGGUAACGGAGGCGUACAAAGGU